RNAcentral lists this ribosomal RNA (225 nucleotides) under Triticum aestivum (bread wheat). Its description in RNAcentral is "partial small subunit ribosomal RNA". Lineage: Eukaryota; Viridiplantae; Streptophyta; Magnoliopsida; Poales; Poaceae. The record is from RNAcentral.
AUGAAUGCCCUGAUUUGGAACUGCCGGGGAGGGGGGAAUUCCCGGACAGUUCGAGAUUUGGCGACGAUGGUGCAGUCGCAUUCCCCCAAAUUUGUGUUUUUGUGUGAAACUCGAUAGAAAGCUAGUAAGAUGAGGAGAUAUAGGGGUCGUCUCGGCCUUAAGGGUUUUGAAGGUGUGGAUAGCUCGGGCAUGAGUGGUGGUUUGGCGUUAUACUGGCAUGAAUCA